This 1441-nucleotide long non-coding RNA is filed under the name Lonchura striata (white-rumped munia). RNAcentral's name for it is "domestica (Bengalese finch) lncRNA (ENSLSDG00000004727.1)". Lineage: Eukaryota; Metazoa; Chordata; Aves; Passeriformes; Estrildidae. The record is from RNAcentral.
AUGUGCAAAACAUCCUUUGUUUGCUUGCUAAGGCUCAAACGGAAGGAAUUCAUCAUUCAGAUUAAGUUCUCCUCAUUCCAGAGCAGGCCCGUUAGACACCAAUGCACAGACAAGCCCUACACUCCCUUUUUUGCCCUCAGGAGCAUUUGUUUUGUUCUUGUUCACCUCAUGAACUGCAUUCACUUAGCUCAACUCAAAGUACAGGAUCCUAACCACUGUCCUCCCCCAGUACAGGGAUCCNNCCCCAGUACAGGGAUCCCAAACCCCUCUCCUCCCCCAGUACAGGGUUGCCAUCCCCAGUACAGGGACCCAAACCAUUGUCCUUCUCCAGUCCAGGGAUCCCAACCAUUGCCCUCCUUCAAACACCCCACACACCCAAGACUCCAAACUCGGAGUCUCGUGUCUCUGAGUUUCAUGCUCAUUAAUGAAGCAGGCAAUUAGGCAGUCGGUGUUUUUGCUUGCCCCUUGCAUCCUUGCCCCUGAGGGUGGGGAUGUGUGGGAAAGCACUGCAGGGAUGGGCAGAGCCUGACAGACACACACCUGCACACACUGCUUCUGUCUGCAAACUCAGGUGCUUCAAGUCUGCUCCACCACCAACCCAUUGCCUUGCCCUCAUUUGCCACCUCCAGAGAAGUGAGCAGUGACCUUAAGGGAUGAAAUGUAUCUGCUCUCCCGAAAAGACCCAGACACUUUUUAUUUUUAGAUGCUGUUUGUUUAUGCAUUUGCAUUCCAACUUCCUUCACACUAAAUCACAACACUUGCUAAAUAUGGGACAUCAUCUGGGAAUGUUUUUGUGAUAGUUUACAUGUCCAUAAAGCAAGUUCUGGUAAAACACGUUGCAAGCACACAAGAUCUAUAUGACUACACAGUGAUUUGGUUAUUCCAAGGAAAAGAAAACAAUCCUCUUAAGCCUCCUCUCUUUUGAAGACUAUACAUUUUAAAAGCAGAACACAAUUUCAAAUUCCAAAAGUUUGAAGCAUGAUGGCGAUUCCUGAGGAAAAGCAUGUGACCACAUAUGAAGACCCACCAGGUGAAUCUCUCAAAAAUCCAUGCUUGGCAUUCCAGUCUUUCCUGCCCAUUGGUUUGAAUGGUGUAUGAAUUAGAUUAACUGUCCUGAUUAUUCAAAGAAAUUUAGCUUAACGACCUGCAAUUACUUUAAUGGCUUUGAAAUUCAGAAGGUAAGAAGGCACUACGUUUCUUUAAAUGAACAUUAAAUAUAAAAUGUCUCUUGACUGACUGUCAUGAAAAUCCAAUUUUAUUGCGAUUUAAAUUAUUCAGAAUCAAUACCAGACAUUAGCUAUAGUUAGGAAGUUAUGAAGACAGAAGGAGCUAAAAGUGACCCUUUUUAAUACAGAAUAAUGACAUAGUGUUUUGAAAGUAACAGGUUAUUUGCUAUGUAUCACUGUUUCAGAACACAGUACCUAUUGCUUUUAACACUAAA